UGAUUAAGUGAGUUAUCUACGUGACCAGUGUUUCAGCUAUAAAAAGUCUGAUAUUUUCUGGUCAGGACACAGAAGCUUCUAGAGUCUUAACGAAACAAUAUUGGUUGUUACAGAUAAAAUACUAAAAUGUCAAAAACAUUUUUAUUGCUAUCAAUUCUAUUACUUGUCACAGUCUCAAAAGUUAUUUCUUAUGGAUGUGAAGGGUCAUGGUGUCAUCCAUCCCAAAGUUAUAACUGCUGCCAAUGGCAUACUUGUACGCAUUAUUUCACGCAGGGUACAUGCUAUCACUAAUAAAAAAUAAAUGAUUUCUGCAAUUAUUUAGUGAUGAAAAUGUACAUUUAUCCUGAAUAAAAAAAAAAUAUUAAACUA
Molecule: long non-coding RNA, 369 nt
Organism: Microplitis demolitor
Lineage: Eukaryota; Metazoa; Arthropoda; Insecta; Hymenoptera; Braconidae
Exons: 3
Source: RefSeq, a predicted model, not a curated record